RNAcentral lists this unclassified non-coding RNA (332 nucleotides) under soil metagenome. RNAcentral's name for it is "partial contains 5.8S ribosomal RNA, internal transcribed spacer 2, and large subunit ribosomal RNA". The stretch from base 1 to 120 matches the Rfam family "5.8S ribosomal RNA", at positions 35 to 154 of the family's 154-position model. The record is from RNAcentral.
GAUGAAGAACGUAGCAAAAUGCGAUAAGUAAUGUGAAUUGCAGAAUUCAGUGAAUCAUCGAAUCUUUGAACGCACAUUGCGCCCGCCAGUAUUCUGGCGGGCAUGCCUGUUCGAGCGUCAUUUCAACCCUCAAGCACAGCUUGGUGUUGGGACUCGCGUCAAUUCGCGUUCCUCAAAUUGAUUGGCGGUCACGUCGAGCUUCCAUAGCGUAGUAGUAAAACCCUCGUUACUGGUAAUCGUCGCGGCCACGCCGUUAAACCCCAACUUCUGAAUGUUGACCUCGGAUCAGGUAGGAAUACCCGCUGAACUUAAGCAUAUCAAUAAGCGGAGGA